CAGCCUGCAACCCGGCUGCACGAAGCUGGAAUCGCUAGUAAUCGCGGAUCAGCAUGCCGCGGUGAAUACGUUCCCGGGUCUUGUACACACCGCCCGUCACACCAUGGGAGCCGGAAAUGCCCGAAGCCUGUGACCCAACCUUUAUAGGAGGGAGCAGCCUAAGGCGGGGCCGGUAACUGGGGUGAAGUCGUAACAAGGUAUC
This 202-nucleotide ribosomal RNA is filed under the name uncultured bacterium. RNAcentral describes it as "partial 16S ribosomal RNA". It matches the Rfam family "Bacterial small subunit ribosomal RNA", at positions 1301 to 1500 of the family's 1533-position model. The record is from RNAcentral.